AACUAAUUUCCCACCCAUUCCAUUAUUCCCCACACAACACAUGCAAUGCAACCCUCACAUUUCAAAUCUUCUCUCUAUUCACAACAACAAGAUCUCAACACAUCAACAACAUAAACUUGAACAAGAAGAUUAAGUUUUACUCUUCUCUGUUCUUUUCCUCUCUUCUCUUUCUCUCUCUCUUCUUUCCAUGAAAGAAAACAACAACCUUUUCAUAAUGUCUCACCAAUCCUCUGCUGAAUCUGAUGACAAGAUUCCUUCUCAUCCAUCUAAAGAUGCCAACUUUGAGAAAAAACAAGAUGACCCUUUUCUCUUAAGCACCCAAGAGAGCCAAAACCAUGAUGAUAAAGAUAUAGAUGCAACACAAAACUCAUCUCUUUGCAAGAAGCAGAAAAUGGAUGAUGCUGAGGCAGAAGAGUUAACAACUGUGGAUGAGGAAUUGGAGGAGGUGAGUGAAAGAGAGAGGCUGAAGAGACAUAGAGUUGAAGUAGCUGGAAGGGUUUGGAUACCAGAAAUAUGGGGUCAAGAGGAAUUGUUGAAGGAUUGGAUAGAUUGCACUGCAUUUGAUGCUCCUUUGAUUCCAAGCAAGAUCACUAUGGCACGUGCUGCUUUGGUUCAACAGGGUGCUGCUAGAGCCAAUGCUGCUCCUCUAAGUAUAGAUAACAGGGACUUGGAAUUCAAUGUACAUAAAGAUUUAUCUCUUAAUAACAACUGCACAAAUGUUGAUGUUCAAAAUACUCAAGUUUUCAGACAAUCAAGCACAGAGAAGAGCGCCUAAACAAAAAAAAUCUGAUUCAAGUUCACAAAUUUAUGAAGGGAGAGGAUCAUGUUAAGAAAAACAUUGGAAACAAGCUGAUCAAGUUCACCAGUAACCACAUGCCAAUCUCUUCAAAAUAAAACACAGUUCAAAGAAAAAAUUUGAAGUAGAUAAAUGAAGUUGCAAAUACAGUUAACAGCAUAGCUGAUAGGUACAAAUUACAAAGAAACCAAAAAAUUCCAGGUUUAUCCCUAAGCACGAAUAGCUAAUAGAAUCAUUGUGGCCCAUGACUUAAAUGAAUGAUUCUGCACCAGGAAAAAGAACUUGUAAUGAGCAUAUAAUCUGAUGCUUCUCUUUUCUGUGAACUUUUCAUACAUUUCAGACUAAAACAUACGAUGAUAGUAUGCAAAAACUCAGUAUGCUCCCAGUGGCAUCCCAUGUGAGUGAAAACGACAUGUCUUACUAAAAUGAUGACAACUAUUAAGCCCACCAGCAUUUGAAAGGAAUGUGACCUAGUGUGAAUGACUAACAACUUAUUCUACAUUAUAAGCUAUAAUUUCUUUUUAUAUUCAUUUCUAGGAAUAUAAAAUUCACAAAUGGCUUGAUUUAUGAGUACUUAAAAUCUCAAUAUUUCAAACAACUAAUAAAGCAUGAUGCCUACAUUGGAUGGUAGUGGAGUUCAGAGCAGUUACCUUCUUUUUCUUUUUUGAGGGGGUGGGGUGAGUUGUCUUUACCUAGAUACUCUAGUGAGGUUUUAUUGCUUAGGUAAUGUACAUAAUACCCACUAACGGUCUCACCACUUCAGGUUUUGUAUAUUUCAAAUAUUUUAAAAUUUAUAAAAAAAAUUGCAUCACUUCAGGUUUUGUAAUUUUUCAAUGAUUUAAAAUGUUUAAUCACCAUUAAAUACACAACUAUGCUGUUCAUUGCGUAUCGCUAUAACCAAUAUAUCAACCAAUAUAUCAAAGCUCGCUAAUAUACUGCAAAUAGAGAAGUUGAGAUGUCGUAUCCACUACCCAUAUUCCGAUACAUAUUGGCAGUAUAUUGGCCCUAUUCCAGAUUUUAACAACACUGCACAGAAUACCUGAAAAGCUA
This is an RNA transcript of Vicia villosa (hairy vetch), 1846 nucleotides long. It is a transcript of the gene named protein BIC1-like, with no coding region annotated. The record is from RefSeq and is a predicted model, not a curated record. NCBI's taxonomy places the organism in Eukaryota, Viridiplantae, Streptophyta, Magnoliopsida, Fabales, Fabaceae. The transcript has 3 exons.